CUUUUCUCCCACGGCAUAUGAAAGUUCCCAGGCUAGGGGUUUAAUCAGAGCUGUAGCUGCCAGCCUACGCCAGAGCCACAGCAACUCGGGAUCCAAGCUGCGUCUGCAACCUACACCGUAGCUCACGGCAACGCCGGAUCCUUAACCCCCUGAGCAAGGCCAGGGAUCGAACCCUCCACCUCAUGGUUCCUAGUCGGAUUCGUUAACCACUGCGCCACAGUGGGAACUCCCUCCUCUUCCUCUUUCCUCGAGUAGUAGCUCCUCCUUGGUAUCCAGUGAGAGAGUAUUUGAUCCCAUAAGGUCCGACUAGGACUGUCAAGGGGCUUAUUGAAGUCAGCAGAAGGGUGGUCCUCAAACUCCUGCCCUUGGUCUGAACUUGAACGCAGCCCCACCCCAUCCCCCACCCAAUGAGGCCGAUCUCAGCCUCCACGAGUCGAGCAAGCCUGCCUCGUUCUGACCGUCCUCUUGAGCAGUUAUCAACUUACAGUGAUGCCCCCAAGUUCCCUGGGUUUCCCUCUGCAUCGACGGUCCCUUGUUGGGACACCUACAACUGCCUGUCAAGUAAAGUAAGCCAGACAGAGACACCGUGUGGUAUCACUUACAUGUGGAAUCUAAAAUAUGACACAAAUGAACCUAUUUACGCAACAGAAACAGGCUCACAGACACAGAGGACAGACUUGUAGUCGCCAAGGGGGAGGGAGGGGAGUGGGAAGGACUGGGAGUUUCGGAUUAGCAGAUACAAACUAUUACAUGUAAGUUGUAUAAACAACAAGGUCCUACAUAGCACAGGGAACUAUACUCAGAAUCCUGUGAUAAACCAUAAUGGAAAAGAAUAUGAAAGAAAUUGUAUAUAUAUGUAUGUAUAUGUAUAGACAAAUCCCACUUUGCUAUAGAGCAGAAAUUAACACAUUGUAAAUCAACUAUGCUUCAAUAAAAUUUUUAAAUAACAUGAAAAUUAAGAGACUAUCUCUGCCCAUCACAAGUUCAGUUGGCAUCAUUUUGGGUCUGAUGGGAGCCCUCCUGGCGCUAUUGCUCUAACCCUCAGAAGCCCUUCAGAAGGGCUGCAUGGUCAGACCGACCUAUGCCUUAGUUUAGUUACUGUUUUGAAAUAAAUUUAAAAUUUCAACCUGCCUUUUUUUAAGCGGGGUAGAAUGUUCUACAUUCAGACUCUCCCCUCUGCUCAUCAGUUUGGUUCGAGCUGGAAGGCCAAGGCUUUGGCAUCCACAGUGACCCAGCUUCAAGCCCUGACUCUGCUGCCAACCAGCUGUGUGACCUGAAGCAACUUGAUUAACCUCUCUGAGCUCAGCCUCCUUAUCUGUACCAUAGAAAGCAUGUCCCGUAACAACACGUGUAGGGAUCAACGGCAGUGUGUAGACAUAACACGCAAUACCUAGCAGAGACUCGUAAAGGGUACCUAUUUUUUAACAUCUAUUAGGUCCAUCAUUCAUGAAAUUGAGAGGGUCCAAGAUAAAUAUUGAUUCUCACAGUUUCUUAUUCUGCAUGACCAGGUUUGACCAAGAAAGUAGCAGCCUUUGGUGACCCUGAGCAUGUCUUAAUGACUUUGUGACUCUCAGGAGAUGCAGCAGAUGUUUAGACGGCAAAGGAAGGGCUGUGGACCAGAAACAGUCAGCUCGGCUCCCCCUGAGACCUGCAGAGCGUCGCUGAGCCCCGUCCCUGAGCUUUCCGGGUUCUUCCCACCUCACUGGCCGCCCCCCACAUGCUUCUCUGGGGCCUCUGCUUCCUCCUCGCCCUUUUCUCUCUGCUCCUGCCCCCCAGGUGUCUCCCAUCCCACCUCUAUACUAGCGAUUCCCAGGUUUUACAUCUGCAGCCUUGACCUGUGUCACAUGUUCCCAUCCAGAACACGUGACAUUACCGCUUGGAUACCAAGUGGAACCUCAGCCUUAAGGUGACCAAAUGAAGCCCUGGGCUGCACUCGGCUUCUCCAUUUGGAUGAAUAAGCCUCAUCUCAAACUCACUCUGUCCUUCUGCACCUGCUCCCCUACAGUCUCCCCUUCCAGGUAAAUGGCACCACCAUUCCACCUGCUGUUCACAUGCCACCUUGCCCCUGAGAUCUCUCCAGCAUCUGACCACUUCUCUCAUCACCUCCUGACCCUCUCAGGGUCAUGUCCUCAGCUCUUUACAGGGUCCACCAGCCUGGACACUGACUGACUCAUACCUGACCCCUGCCCCAUUCUUUCUUCCCCUUCACCCCCCCACGAUGUCUGCCUGGACCCUCGGUGUCCUCAAGCAAGUCUAGGGCUUGCUUGCCUUGGCACCUGCUGUUUCUCUGCUCAAAACAUCCCCCUUCAGACACCCAGAGGUCUCACUCCUCACUUCCCUUUGGUCUCUAGUCAAAUAGGACCCCCUGGAGCAGACCCCUACUUUCUGAUAUUAAAUGCAACCCCCAUAGCUAAUCAACACCGUCAGUUCCAUCCAUCCCACCCAUUUACCUUGGGAAUGGCACCCAUCACCUCCUGAUGACUAUUUACCUGGUGGUGGGUCCAUGACCUCCAGCUAGAACCUCUAGCCCGGAGAGCUGGGGUUUCGUCUUGGUACUGGUCACUCUCCUUGCCCCCCAGCUCCCGUCCGCCACCUUCUCUGCUCCCGCCCUGAGAGGCUGGCCCUGGAGGACAAUGCUAGCUUGCUCUCUUGCAAUGCCUCCCAGC
Molecule: long non-coding RNA, 2666 nt
Filed under: Sus scrofa (pig)
Lineage: Eukaryota; Metazoa; Chordata; Mammalia; Artiodactyla; Suidae
Description: lncRNA (ENSSSCG00015013004.1)
Source: RNAcentral